Molecule: long non-coding RNA, 445 nt
Filed under: Helianthus annuus (common sunflower)
Lineage: Eukaryota; Viridiplantae; Streptophyta; Magnoliopsida; Asterales; Asteraceae
Description: hypothetical non coding rna
Rfam family: Small nucleolar RNA SNORD14 (bases 190-313)
Source: RNAcentral
UAUCAAUGAUGAAUGAAGAAAGGCUUGUUUCUCAUGAACAUUCGCAGUGGCCGCCUGAUUGAACUUUCGCCUUCGCCAGGCUUGAGAGUUCAUGCUGCUUCAUCCUUCCUUGGAUGUCUGAGAUCUUCCUCUGUCUGUUUGUAUAAAUCUUCUAUAUGUUUUUUUUUUUCAAUGUGAUUUUGUGUUUGAAACUAGUGAUGAUAUCUUUAAGGCUUGUUUCUCAGAAACAUUCGCAGUGGCCGACCAAGAGCUUUCGCCUUCGCCAGGCUUGAGAGCUUGUGCUGUUAUGCUCCUUCCUUGGAUGUCUGAAGUUUCAUUUCAUUUCAUUUAUUUAAUAUAGAGAAUUAGGGUGGGUUUCUCAGUGAUGAUUUCAAUAGAUGACGAGUCUGAUACAUUAUCCAUUCCAUUCAGUAUGAAGACCAAUCGAGGCAUUUGUCUGAGAGAU